GAUGAACGCUGACAGAAUGCUUAACACAUGCAAGUCAACUUGAACUUCGGUUUGGGUGGCGGACGGGUGAGUAACGCGUAAAGAACUUGCCUCACAGCUAGGGACAACAUUUGGAAACGAAUGCUAAUACCUGAUAUUAUGAUUUUAGGGCAUCCUAGAAUUAUGACAGCUAUAUGCGCUGUGAGAGAGCUUUGCGUCCCAUUAGCUAGUUGGAGAGGUAACGGCUCACCAAGGCGAUGAUGGGUAGCCGGCCUGAGAGGGUGAACGGCCACAAGGGGGCUGAGACACGGCCCUUACUCCUACGGGAGGCAGCAGUGGGGAAUAUUGGACAAUGGACCAAGAGUCUGAUCCAGCAAUUCUGUGUGCACGAUGAAGUUUUUCGGAAUGUAAAGUGCUUUCAGUUGGGAAGAAAAAAAUGACGGUACCAACAGAAGAAGUGACGGCUAAAUACGUG
Molecule: ribosomal RNA, 454 nt
Filed under: uncultured bacterium
Lineage: Bacteria
Description: partial 16S ribosomal RNA
Rfam family: Bacterial small subunit ribosomal RNA
Source: RNAcentral